This 215-nucleotide ribosomal RNA is filed under the name Haemaphysalis longicornis (longhorned tick). RNAcentral describes it as "partial large subunit ribosomal RNA". The stretch from base 82 to 215 matches the Rfam family "Bacterial large subunit ribosomal RNA", at positions 2473 to 2607 of the family's 2925-position model. The record is from RNAcentral. Lineage: Eukaryota; Metazoa; Arthropoda; Arachnida; Ixodida; Ixodidae.
GGGGCGAUUGAGAAAGAUAAAAAACUUUUUUUUAUUUAAAGAGAUCCCUUAUUAACGAUUUUAUGUAAAAAAUACUCUAGGGAUAACAGCGUAAUAAUUUUAGAUAGAUCUUAUAGAAAAAAUAGUUUGCGACCUCAAUAUUGGAUUAGGAUACUUGUUUAAUGAAGAAGUUAAAUAAAGAAGUUUGUUCAACUUUUAAAAUCCUACUUGAUCUG